This 553-nucleotide long non-coding RNA is filed under the name Ananas comosus (pineapple). RNAcentral's name for it is "long non-coding RNA (ACOM_LNC001369)". The record is from RNAcentral. Lineage: Eukaryota; Viridiplantae; Streptophyta; Magnoliopsida; Poales; Bromeliaceae.
GACAAUAUUAUUCUGAUAGUAUAUUCCUAUAAAUCCUUAGUCUAGUCAAAACAAGUUGUAAUUUUGUUUUAAAAAAAUUAUAAUUGUUAACAAAUAAUUCACUCUGAAUUUUUCUUAUUUUUAUUAUUUAGGGAAAGCUUCAAAUACCCCCAUUGUGUUUCACUUUUUCUCACUUUAGUACCCUGUGGUUUAAAGUAUAUCAAGUUAGUACUCUGUCAUUUUGCACUUUCUUACUUUAGUACCCUGUGGUUUAAAGUGUAUCAAGUUAGUAACAUGUGGUUUCGCACUUUCUCACUUUAGCGCCCUGUAGUUUAAAAACCACAAGAUACUAAUUUGAUAUAAAAAUAAAACCACAGGGUACUAACUUGGUACAAAAAUAAAAUCACAGGGUACUAACUUGAUACACUUUAAACCACAGGGCACUAAAGUGAGAAAGUGCGAAACCACAGGGUACUAAACUUGAUACAUUUUAAACCACAGGGUACUAAAAUAAAAAAGUACGAAACCACAGGGGGGUUUUUGAAGUUUUUCUUAUUAUUUAUUUAUUUCUUUC